GACGAACGCUGGCGGCGUGCUUAACACAUGCAAGUCGAACGGAAAGGCCCUGCUUUUGUGGGGUGCUCGAGUGGCGAACGGGUGAGUAAAAGGGGAUAACCCGCCCCUGACCUUGGGAUUACUUUAGGGAACCGGGGCCAAAACCCGAAAGGAACCCCCGCCGGCAGGUGGGGGGUGGAAAAUUUCGGCGGUUGGGGAUGGACUCGGGGCUUAUCAGCCUGUUGGGGGGGUAGUGGCUUACCAAGGCUUUGACGGGUAGCCGGCCUGAGAGGGUGACCGGCCACAUUGGGACUGAGAUACGGCCCAGACUCCUACGGGAGGCAGCAGUGGGGAAUAUUGCACAAUGGGCGGAAGCCUGAUGCAGCAACGCCGCGUGCGGGAUGACGGCCUUCGGGUUGUAAACCGCUUUCGCAUGUGACGAAGCGUGAGUGACGGGAAUGGGUAAAGAAGCACCGGCUAACUACGG
Molecule: ribosomal RNA, 466 nt
Filed under: uncultured bacterium
Lineage: Bacteria
Description: partial 16S ribosomal RNA
Rfam family: Bacterial small subunit ribosomal RNA
Source: RNAcentral